This 283-nucleotide ribosomal RNA is filed under the name uncultured bacterium. Its description in RNAcentral is "partial 16S ribosomal RNA". It matches the Rfam family "Bacterial small subunit ribosomal RNA", at positions 123 to 406 of the family's 1533-position model. The record is from RNAcentral.
AACGUGCCCAGUAGUGGGGGAUAGCCCGGCGAAAGCCGGAUUAAUACCGCAUACGACCUCAGGGUGAAAGCGGGGGAUUCGCAAGGACCUCGCGCUAUUGGAGCGGCCGAUAUCAGAUUAGCUUGUUGGUGGGGUAAAAGCCUACCAAGGCCGCGAUCUGUAGCUGGUCUGAGGGGACGACCAGCCACACUGGAACUGAGACACGGUCCAGACUCCUACGGGAGGCAGCAGUGGGGAAUUUUGGACAAUGGGCGCAAGCCUGAUCCAGCCAUGCCGCGUGUGG